This 253-nucleotide ribosomal RNA is filed under the name uncultured bacterium. RNAcentral describes it as "partial 16S ribosomal RNA". It matches the Rfam family "Bacterial small subunit ribosomal RNA", at positions 524 to 776 of the family's 1533-position model. The record is from RNAcentral.
UACGGAGGGUGCAAGCGUUAUCCGGAUUCACUGGGUUUAAAGGGUGCGUAGGUGGGUCUGUAAGUCUGUGGUGAAAUCUCUAAGCUUAACUUGGAAACUGCCAUGGAUACUAUAGAUCUUGAAUACCGUGGAGGAUAGCGGAAUAUGUCAUGUAGCGGUGAAAUGCUUAGAUAUGACAUAGAACACCAAUUGCGAAGGCAGCUGUCUACCCGAAUAUUGACACUGAGGCACGAAAGCGUGGGGAUCAAACAGG